CCCCUAUAGUAUAAGACAUUACAAUGGUCUUGUAAGCCAUAAAUGAAAACCACUUUCUAAGGGUAUUCA
This 69-nucleotide transfer RNA is filed under the name Elephas maximus (Asiatic elephant). It matches the Rfam family "tRNA". Rfam says of the family: Transfer RNA (tRNA) molecules are approximately 80 nucleotides in length. Their secondary structure includes four short double-helical elements and three loops (D, anti-codon, and T loops). Lineage: Eukaryota; Metazoa; Chordata; Mammalia; Proboscidea; Elephantidae. The record is from RNAcentral.